AGUAGUCCCUACCAAGAAUCAAUCCCAAAAGGUCGGAGCGAGGCAAAAUUGGCUUUCAAACUAGGUUCUGGGUUCACACAAGACCUGAAUCAGGAACAAGGGCUAUUAGCUCAGGUGGUUAGAGCGCACCCCUGAUAAGGGUGAGGUCCCUGGUUCGAGUCCAGGAUGGCCCACCUGCACAGGUGGAAGAAAGAAAAGAAGCUCCGAAUCAGCACCUUAUCUUACUUAUAUAGUAAGAGAGAAUGCUGGCUCUGAGUACAGAGUCCAGAGGAACCUUGAAAACUGCAUAGAGCUAGGUGAAAAAGCCAAAAAAGAAGACCGC
This 322-nucleotide transfer RNA is filed under the name Microcystis aeruginosa BCCUSP 009. RNAcentral's name for it is "partial 16S-23S ribosomal RNA intergenic spacer". The stretch from base 100 to 173 matches the Rfam family "tRNA". The record is from RNAcentral. RNAcentral also lists the same sequence under 1 other name. Lineage: Bacteria; Bacillati; Cyanobacteriota; Cyanophyceae; Chroococcales; Microcystaceae.